GAAUUUAAAGUGGCUCCAAUGGCAAGGAUGUGCCAGAGAUUUUAAAGCUACUCAUUUCCAUGUUGAGAAAUUAGUCAUUCUUGAUCUUUCAUGGAGCAAAGUCACUGAAGACUGGGAAGGUUGGAGAGAAAUCAAGUAGAUUAAGCUUUGUUUACUUUGGGAAAACUGUUUUCCAGAUGAGAAAGAUUUCAUUAGAAAGCUUUUCAUGAAGACUGAUUUAGGAUAUGACACUUUCCAGCGUUUGGCAUGUACGGAACUGAAUAUUAUUCUUGAAAUACUUAAGGAAAUAAUCUGUCGCCUGCCAACAACAGUUGAAGGGUGUUUGGACGAUGGUGGUAGUGGAAUCUCAGGUUGAGUUAGUUUAGGGAAAUGAAUUUCUGGUUGUUAAAAGGGUAGGCCAUUCUUCAAAAUCUAAAUGAGCAUCUUUUCUUUACGAUGAAAACACUUUCCCAUUGCUUCUUAAGCCAUGCCAUGAUUGGAAGAUUAGUUUUCAAGAAACAUUUUUUCUACAAAACAAACAAAGACUUUAUUUGCUCUGGAGAUUUGUUCAGUGUAUAAAUUAAUCUUUCUGUGAUAUUUUUGCAGAUGCCACGUUUGAAAGUCUUGAAUCUUACAGGUUGUGCUGACCUAUUGAUAAGCCCCAACUUGUCCUCUUUCCCAGACUUGGAGAUAUUGAUUCUAGAACAAUGUUCUCAACUAAUGAAGUUAGAUCC
This 713-nucleotide long non-coding RNA is filed under the name Eucalyptus grandis. RNAcentral's name for it is "long non-coding RNA (EGRA_LNC006975)". The record is from RNAcentral. Lineage: Eukaryota; Viridiplantae; Streptophyta; Magnoliopsida; Myrtales; Myrtaceae.